This 573-nucleotide ribosomal RNA is filed under the name uncultured bacterium. RNAcentral describes it as "bacterial SSU rRNA". It matches the Rfam family "Bacterial small subunit ribosomal RNA", at positions 252 to 836 of the family's 1533-position model. The record is from RNAcentral.
GUGGGGUAAUGGCUUACCAAGGCGACGACGGGUAGCCGGCUUGAGAGGGCGACCGGCCACACUGGGACUGAGACACGGCCCGGACUCCUACGGGAGGCAGCAGUGGGGAAUAUUGCACAAUGGGCGAAAGCCUGAUGCAGCGACGCCGCGUGAGGGAUGACGGCCUUCGGGUUGUAAACCUCUUUCAGCAGGGACGAAGCGCAAGUGACGGUACCUGCAGAAGAAGCACCGGCCAACUACGUGCCAGCAGCCGCGGUAAUACGUAGGGUGCAAGCGUUGUCCGGAAUUAUUGGGCGUAAAGAGUUCGUAGGCGGCUUGUCGCGUCGGCUGUGAAAACCUGGGGCUCAACCCCGGGCCUGCAUCCGAUACGGGCGAGCUAGAAUUCGGUAGGGGAGACUGGAAUUCCUGGUGUAGCGGUGAAAUGCGCAGAUAUCAGGAGGAACACCGGUGGCGAAGGCGGGUCUCUGGGCCGAUAUUGACGCUGAGGAGCGAAAGCGUGGGGAGCGAACAGGAUUAGAUACCCUGGUAGUCCACGCCGUAAACGUUGGGCGCUAGGUGUGGGCCACAUUCCAC